GGCUAACUCCGUGCCAGCAGCCGCGGUAAUACGGAGGGUGCGAGCGUUAAUCGGAAUUACUGGGCGUAAAGCGCAUGCAGGUGGUUUGUUUAAGUUCAGAUGUGAAAGACCCGGGGCGUCAACCUCGGAAUAGCAUUUGAAACUGGCAGACUAGAGUACUGUAGAGGGGGGUAGGAAUUUCAGGUGUAGCGGUGAAAUAGCGUAGAGAUCUGAAGGAAUACCGGUGGCGAAGGCGGCCCCCUCGGACAGAUACUGACACUCAGAUGCGAAAGCGUGGGGAGCAAACAGGAUUAGAUACCCCUGGUAG
This 307-nucleotide ribosomal RNA is filed under the name uncultured bacterium. RNAcentral describes it as "bacterial SSU rRNA". It matches the Rfam family "Bacterial small subunit ribosomal RNA", at positions 495 to 793 of the family's 1533-position model. The record is from RNAcentral.